CUUGCCAAUUGUCUGUUAACUAGUAGGUUUAAAAAUUGGGUCUCUGGGAACUACUACUCUCAAAUAUUGCCCCUUUCUUAUUCAUUGCAUAUUUUAUGGAUCCAUCCUCAUAAAACUGUAGUUCAUAAGGCCCCACCAAUGGGCGGUAUACAUAAGCUCAAAGCCAAAGUAUUUCCUAAGAUGGCACAGUAAAAACAGUAGCUAUAUGGCAUUCCUCCUCCACCCCUAAUAAACCUGGGGCACAUUCCCACAAAUGUACACACCAUCAGGAGAAAAAUAGCUGUAAACACUAAUAAGGAGGCACCCAUGAAGGGCACACAGGGGGCCAAGGACACAUGAGUAGAGCAGAGGUGUCAAACAUACUGAGUGCCAAGGAAUCAGAUUAAAAUGGCAUUGGGAAAUAGCUAACAAAAGAAAUUAAAUGCCCUAUCACAUAGAUAAUGCAUCGGUUUUUUGCUAUGCAGCCUGCAGGCAUCCUCCUUAUAUAGAGAUAUGACCCCUGAUUUGAAUUUAACACCUCUAAUAUCUUUUCUCUUCCUCUGGCAUCCUUAUGCUCCUUCCCCCUGAGGGCAAUAAUAUCUCCUUAAGCGGAGGGGACAGAGAAACCAAAUUCCCACCCUAACCAUCACCUCAACAGCAAGAUCCCAGAGGAUGAUUUUAUCCUUUUGAGGAUGAAUCAGCAUGAUUGAACAUGACUUUUACUUGGAGAACAAUGGGGAUAAUAACAUUUCCAGAGCAGCAUUGUGGCAAGGGGUUAACUUCUUUGGAGUAAUGAAGUAAUGAAGAGCUGUGAUCAUUCUGACAUCUGCUGGCUUGGUGACCUUGGGUAAAUGAGACAUCCAUUCCGCCCCCUCCAAGUCAGCCCGGCCCGCUAACGUCGGAUUCCAUCCUUAAUGCCUCUCUCCUACUGACUCAUCCUAGCCAGCCCGCAGUACUUCUGUCCGGGCUCGCAUUUCGGCUGCCUUCUCUUCUCUGCUACUGCCAUCCCCUGGUCAUUGCACCGCCCGACUCAGAAGGGGCAGAUGAGAACAAUGUUCCAGUGGCCAUAAAGGAGACUCUGUGGAGUACUGAGAGCCGGGUUAGAGAGCAAAGAAGCCAAGGCCAUGGGCUUCAUCAUGAGCCGUCACCACUUGGGCUUGCCGCUGUACUUGGAUGGUCCUGGAAGAGAACGUGAGGCCAAUGACUUUGCAUAAUAAUUCUGUCUCAGUCAAUACAAUUUGUACAUGAAUCAUACAUAAUGCAGGUCCAUCACAAUGGUGUCAUUUUGAUCCUUUGAGUACAAAGGACAACAACUAAUUACACACACACAUAUAUAUUAAUUAUAUUGCCAAUCUCUUGGUUGUAUAUAGUUGUUGGCAGGUUUUUUUCUCCCAUUAGACUAUGAAUUCCAUAUAUUUAUCUUUCGUGUGUGUCCCCUUGCCGUCAAGCAUAGUUCAUGGCAUGGUAAAGUGCUAGAUCAAUGCUUAGUGACUGAUCAAUCUUUGAAGAUAAGGGCAUAAUAUCAUAACCAUCAUUAAUAAAUGAAAGAUGCAUGUCUUCCUUAACA
This 1546-nucleotide long non-coding RNA is filed under the name Monodelphis domestica (gray short-tailed opossum). RNAcentral's name for it is "lncRNA (ENSMODG00000040533.1)". The record is from RNAcentral. Lineage: Eukaryota; Metazoa; Chordata; Mammalia; Didelphimorphia; Didelphidae.